Molecule: ribosomal RNA, 253 nt
Filed under: uncultured bacterium
Lineage: Bacteria
Description: partial 16S ribosomal RNA
Rfam family: Bacterial small subunit ribosomal RNA
Source: RNAcentral
UACGUAGGUGACCAGCGUUGUCCGGAUUUACUGGGCGUAAAGAGCGCGCAGGCGGUCGUUCAAGUCGAGUGUGAAAGCCCCCGGCUCAACUGGGGAGGGUCAUUCGAUACUGAUCGACUCGAAGGCAGGAGAGGGAAGCGGAAUUCCCGGUGUAGCGGUGAAAUGCGCAGAUAUCAGGAGGAACACCGGUGGCGAAGGCGGAUCUCUGGGCCUUACCUGACGCUGAGGCGCGAAAGCUAGGGGAGCAAACAGG